Molecule: ribosomal RNA, 305 nt
Filed under: uncultured bacterium
Lineage: Bacteria
Description: partial 16S ribosomal RNA
Rfam family: Bacterial small subunit ribosomal RNA
Source: RNAcentral
ACAGCAGUCGCCGCGGUAAUACGAAGGGGGCUAGCGUUGUUCGGAAUUACUGGGCGUAAAGCGCACGUAGGCGGAUAUUUAAGUCAGGGGUGAAAUCCCAGAGCUCAACUCUGGAACUGCCUUUGAUACUGGGUAUCUUGAGUAUGGAAGAGGUGAGUGGAAUUCCGAGUGUAGAGGUGAAAUUCGUAGAUAUUCGGAGGAACACCAGUGGCGAAGGCGGCUCACUGGUCCAUUACUGACGCUGAGGUGCGAAAGCGUGGGAAGCAAACAGGAUUAGAUACCCCCGUAGUCCCUGUCUCUUAUAC